This 495-nucleotide ribosomal RNA is filed under the name uncultured bacterium. RNAcentral describes it as "partial 16S ribosomal RNA". It matches the Rfam family "Bacterial small subunit ribosomal RNA", at positions 28 to 507 of the family's 1533-position model. The record is from RNAcentral.
GAUGAACGCUGGCGGCGUGCCUAAUACAUGCAAGUCGAGCGAACAGACGAGGAGCUUGCUCCUCUGACGUUAGCGGCGGACGGGUGAGUAACACGUGGAUAACCUACCUAUAAGACUGGGAUAACUUCGGGAAACCGGAGCUAAUACCGGAUAACAUGUUGAACCGCAUGGUUCAACAGUGAAAGACGGUCUUGCUGUCACUUAUAGAUGGAUCCGCGCCGCAUUAGCUAGUUGGUAAGGUAACGGCUUACCAAGGCAACGAUGCGUAGCCGACCUGAGAGGGUGAGCGGCCACACGGGAACUGACACGGUCCAGACUCCUACGGGAGGCAGCAGUAGGGAAUCUUCCGCAAUGGGCGAAAUCCUGACGGAGCAACGCCGCGUGAGUGAAGAAGGUCUUCGGAUCGUAAAACUCUGUUAUUAGGGAAGAACAAAUGUGUAAGUAACUAUGCACGUCUUGACGGUACCUAAUCAGAAAGCCACGGCUAACUACGUG